RNAcentral lists this transfer RNA (72 nucleotides) under Camelus ferus (Wild Bactrian camel). It matches the Rfam family "tRNA". From Rfam's summary of the family: Transfer RNA (tRNA) molecules are approximately 80 nucleotides in length. Their secondary structure includes four short double-helical elements and three loops (D, anti-codon, and T loops). Further hydrogen bonds mediate the characteristic L-shaped molecular structure. tRNAs have two regions of fundamental functional importance: the anti-codon, which is responsible for specific mRNA codon recognition, and the 3' end, to which the tRNAs corresponding amino acid is attached (by aminoacyl-tRNA synthetases). tRNAs cope with the degeneracy of the genetic code in two manners: having more than one tRNA (with a specific anti-codon) for a particular amino acid; and 'wobble' base-pairing, i.e. permitting non-standard base-pairing at the 3rd anti-codon position. The record is from Rfam by way of RNAcentral. Lineage: Eukaryota; Metazoa; Chordata; Mammalia; Artiodactyla; Camelidae.
GCAGGUAUAGCUCAAUGGUAGAGUGCCUGCUCACCAUAUAUGAGGUCCUGGGUUCAAUCCCCAGUACCUCCA